This is an RNA transcript of Lates calcarifer (barramundi perch), 7329 nucleotides long. It is a transcript of the gene named cytochrome b-like, with no coding region annotated. The record is from RefSeq and is a predicted model, not a curated record. The transcript has a single exon. Lineage: Eukaryota; Metazoa; Chordata; Actinopteri; Centropomidae.
UCACUUGCAAUAACAUCAAGCUUAAUUAUUAUUUUUGCUGUCCUCGCAUACCCCAUUCUGACAACCCUUUCUCCCCUCCCUCAAAACCAAAACUGGGCACUCUCCCACGUAAAGACAGCAGUAAAACUAGCCUUCUUCAUCAGCUUACUUCCCCUAUUCCUAUUCCUAAACGAAGGCCUAGAAGUAAUUAUCACCAACUGAAACUGAAUAAAUAUUGCCACCUUUGACAUAAACAUCAGCCUUAAAUUUGACCACUACUCAAUUAUCUUUACCCCAGUCGCACUAUACGUGACCUGGUCUAUCCUGGAAUUUGCAUCAUGAUACAUACACGCAGACCCUAAUAUAAAUCGCUUCUUCAAGUACCUUUUAAUCUUCCUAAUCGCAAUAAUCAUCCUAGUUACAGCAAACAACAUAUUCCAACUCUUCAUCGGCUGAGAAGGUGUGGGAAUCAUAUCAUUUCUCCUCAUCGGCUGAUGGCACGGCCGAGCCGACGCAAACACCGCAGCUUUACAAGCAGUUCUCUACAAUCGCCUAGGAGACAUCGGACUGAUCUUCACCAUAGCAUGAAUCGCAAUAAACCUCAACUCAUGAGAAAUACAACAAAUAUUUGCCUCUGCCAAAGACAUAGACCUCACCCUCCCCCUACUAGGACUCGUCAUUGCUGCAACCGGUAAAUCCGCUCAAUUUGGACUCCAUCCAUGGCUCCCCUCCGCCAUGGAGGGUCCCACACCAGUCUCUGCCCUACUACAUUCAAGCACAAUGGUUGUGGCAGGUAUCUUCCUCUUAGUCCGAAUAAGUCCCUUAAUAGAAAACAACCAGACUGCCCUCACCACCUGUCUCUGCCUAGGCGCCCUAACUACCCUCUUCACUGCCACCUGUGCCCUUACCCAAAAUGAUAUCAAGAAAAUCGUUGCCUUCUCCACCUCUAGCCAACUAGGUCUAAUAAUAGUUACCAUUGGACUUAACCAACCACAAUUAGCCUUCCUACACAUUUGUACUCAUGCAUUCUUCAAGGCAAUACUCUUCCUAUGUUCAGGCUCAAUUAUCCACAGCUUAAAUGACGAACAAGACAUCCGAAAAAUAGGAGGCAUGCAUUGCCUCACCCCCUUCACCUCUUCAUGCUUAACCAUCGGAAGCCUAGCCCUCACGGGCACCCCCUUUCUAGCCGGAUUUUUCUCCAAAGACGCCAUCAUCGAAGCACUCAACACAUCCUACCUUAACGCCUGAGCCCUUGUCUUAACCCUACUAGCAACUUCAUUCACAGCCAUCUAUAGCCUACGUGUUAUCUACUUUGUGUCAAUAGGACACCCCCGCUUUAACUCCCUCUCCCCUAUCAACGAAAACAACCCUGCGGUAAUCAACCCCAUCAAACGACUAGCGUGAGGAAGUAUCAUCGCCGGCUUGCUGAUUUCCUCCAACAUUAUUCCAACCAAAACGCCCGUCAUAUCUAUGCCUCCAAUACUAAAACUGGCCGCUCUAACAGUAACAGUCCUAGGACUUCUAAUAGCCCUAGAACUAGCAACCCUCACAAACAAACAAUUUAAACCCACUCCCACCCUAAUUCCCCACCAUUUCUCCAACAUGCUAGGGUUCUUCCCACCAAUUAUCCACCGUCUCGCCCCAAAACUAAAUCUAUUCCUAGGUCAAACCAUCGCAAGCCAGACAAUCGACCAAACUUGAUUAGAAAAAUCAGGCCCCAAAGCUCUCAUCAACCUAAAUUUGCCUUUAAUCACAACAACAAGUAACAUUCAACAAGGCCUAAUUAAAACCUACCUGGGCCUAUUCCUCCUAACUCUCACCCUCGCCCUAUUAAUCACCUACUAAACUGCCCGAAGUGCCCCCCGACUCAACCCCCGAGUCAAUUCUAACACUACAAAAAGAGUGAGAAGUAGCACCCAUCCACUAAUAAUCAACAUCCAACCCCCAGAAGAAUACAUCAACGCCACUCCCCCUGCAUCACCACGAAAUACAGAAAACUCGCCCAACUCGUCAACCGACACCCAUGAAGACUCAUAUCAAACCCCUCCAAACACCACAAAAGCUAAUACCACACCCACUAUGUACACGACCAUAUGCACUACAACAGGCCAACUCCCUCAAGCCUCAGGAUAUGGCUCAGCAGCCAAAGCUGCUGAAUAUGCAAAUACAACUAACAUCCCUCCUAGAUAAAUCAAAAACAACACCAACGACAAAAAAGGACCCCCAUGUCCAACUAAAACCCCACACCCCAUACCUGCAACAACUACUAACCCCAAAGCAGCAAAGUAUGGAGAAGGGUUGGACGCAACCGCAACCAAUCCUAAGACAAAACAAAAUAAAAUUAAGUACAUAAUAAAACACAUAAUUCCUGCCAGGACUCUAACCAAGACUUAUGGUCUGAAACACCAUCGUUAUUUUUUAACUACAAGAACCUUCAUGGCCAACCUACGAAAGACCCAUCCCCUUUUUAAAAUUGCAAACGAUGCACUAGUUGAUCUUCCCACCCCCGUCAAUAUCUCAGCAUGAUGAAAUUUCGGCUCACUAUUAGGCCUAUGCCUUAUCUCCCAAAUCCUAACAGGCCUAUUCCUAGCCAUACACUACACUUCAGAUAUCGCAACAGCCUUUACAUCCGUGACACAUAUUUGUCGCGACGUCAACUAUGGAUGACUUAUUCGGAAUAUACAUGCUAAUGGCGCAUCUUUCUUCUUCAUCUGCAUCUACCUUCACAUUGGUCGGGGUCUGUACUACGGCUCCUAUCUCUACAAAGAAACUUGAAACAUUGGAGUCAUCCUCCUACUAUUAGUCAUAAUAACUGCCUUCGUUGGCUAUGUUCUCCCCUGAGGACAAAUAUCAUUCUGAGGGGCUACCGUCAUCACAAAUCUACUUUCUGCAGUCCCCUAUGUAGGAAACACCCUGGUUCAAUGAAUUUGGGGCGGUUUCUCUGUUGAUAACGCCACCCUCACCCGUUUCUUUGCCUUCCACUUUCUACUUCCAUUCGUCAUUUUAGCUGCAACUAUCAUCCACCUUCUCUUCCUGCAUGAAACCGGCUCAAACAAUCCAACAGGUCUAAACUCUGAUGCAGACAAAAUCUCUUUCCACCCAUACUUCUCAUACAAAGACCUCUUAGGAUUUGCAAUCCUCCUCCUUGCACUCACCUGCCUAGCCCUAUUCUCACCUAACCUCUUGGGAGACCCAGACAACUUUACUCCUGCAAACCCUCUAGUCACCCCUCCUCACAUCAAGCCAGAAUGAUACUUUCUGUUCGCCUACGCUAUCCUCCGCUCAAUUCCCAAUAAACUAGGCGGGGUUCUAGCACUACUAUCCUCAAUUCUUGUCCUAAUAAUCGUCCCCUUCCUCCACACAUCCAAACAACGAAGCCUAACAUUCCGCCCUCUAACACAACUAUUAUUCUGGACCCUAGUUGCAGACGUACUCAUCUUAACUUGGAUUGGAGGUAUACCUGUUGAACACCCCUUCAUCAUCAUUGGGCAAGUUGCAUCACUUCUCUAUUUCUUACUGUUCCUUGUCCUACUCCCCCUAGCAGGAUGACUAGAAAACAAAGCCCUAGGAUGAUCAUGCAUUAGUAGCUCAAUGCCAGAGCGUCGGUCUUGUAAAUCGGCGGCCGGAGGUUUGAACCCUCCCUAUUGCUUCAAAAAAAGGAGAUUUUAACUCCCACCACUAACCCCCAAAGCUAGUAUUCUUACGUUAAACUAUUUUUUGAUAUAAUUAUAUAUACAUGUAUUCACACCAUGUAUUUAUGCUAACCAAUAAAUGAGUAUAUGGUGUAAAUGCAUAUAUAUAUGUAUUAAUCAACAUUUACCUGUAAUCAAAGGACAUAUGUGCAUUCAAUGGUACUCGUAAAUGUAAUGUACAGUAACCUAUAAUUAAUAUACUUUAAACAAUAAUAUUACAUAUUAAUCAUCAGCGAUAAUAGAGCGUAGUGAGAGAUCACCAAUUAGUAGGUAUUCAGAGUGUUGACGGUUCUUGAUAGUCAAGGACAAACACAGCGUGGGGGUUACACAAAUUGAACUAUUACUGGCAUUUGGUUCCUACCUCAGGUGCAUGGAUAAGAAAGAAUUCCACUGACGUUCCUUCAUAAAUGGCAUAAGUUAAUGGUGGAUAACAUGAAUCCUCGUUACCCACCAAGCCGAGCAUUCUUUCCAGCGGGUAAGGGGUUUAUAAUUUUUUUCUUAUCAUCUCAUUUGACAUCUCAGAGUGCACGCACAGAGCAUAUAAUAUGGAAGUAGAACAUAAUUUUUUUAUGGAAGAGAAUAGUCAGUAUGAAUGGUGAAAAGGCUUGACCUGAAGAAUUACAUAAUAGGAUAUCACGAGCAUAACGUGCUAACCUUCUACUCCCAACAUAUCUAUUAAUCCACCCCGUUUUUAUUACGCAACCCCCCCCCCCCCCCCCCAAAAACAGAGGAAGCCCCACAAUAACUUGAUUUUAAUCUAAAAAUGCACUAUUUACACUAUUUAAAAUAUUUUAAGAAGCUGAUGUAGCUUAACCAAAGCAUGACACUGAAGAUGUUAGGAUGGACCCUAGAAAGUCCCAUAAGCACAAAGGCUUGGUCCUAGCUUUAUUGUCAGCUCUAGCUAGAUUUACACAUGCAAGUAUCCGCCCCCCCGUGAGAAUGCCCAUGAUUCCCUGUUUGGGAACAAGGAGCCGGUAUCAGGCACACCUAACCCACUGAGCCCACGACACCUUGCUUUGCCACACCCUCAAGGGAACCCAGCAGUGAUAAACUUUAAGCCAUAAGUGAAAACUUGACUUAGUUAAAGCUAAGUAGGGCCGGUCAAAUUCGUGCCAGCCACCGCGGUUAUACGAGAGGCCCAAGCUGACAAACCACGGCGUAAAGAGUGGUUAAGGAAACUUGAAACUAAAGUCGAACGCUCUCUUCGAGCUGUUAUACGCGUACGAGACUACGAAGCUCAGCCACGAAAGUGACUUUACAACCCCUGACCCCACGAAAGCUAAGAAACAAACUGGGAUUAGAUACCCCACUAUGCUUAGCCGUAAACAUUGAUUUUACAUUACACUUAAUAUUCCGCCCGGGAAUUACAAGCACUAGCUUAAAACCCAAAGGACUUGGCGGUGCUUAAUAUCCACCUAGAGGAGCCUGUUCUAUAACCGAUAAUCCCCGCUUAACCUCACCCCCUCUUGCCCUUACCGCCUAUAUACCACCGUCGUAAGCCUACCCUGUGAAGGCCCAAUAGUAUGCAAAACUAGUAUAGCCCCGAACGUCAGGUCAAGGUGUAGUACAUGAGAGGAGAAAGAAAUGGGCUACAUUCAUCAAUUCUAGUGAACACGAAUGAUGCACUGAAAACCUAUGCAGCUGAAGGAGGAUUUAGUAGUAAGAGAGAAACAGAGUGUCUCCCUGAAACCGGCUCUUAAGCGCGCACACACCGCCCGUCACCCUCCCCAUAGCACCCGGCUAAAACAUAAAUAAAGCACAAACGAACGCUAUUUUACGGAGAGGAAAGUCGUAACAUGGUAAGCAUACCGGAAGGUGUGCUUGGCUAAAUCAGAGUGUAGCUAAGACAGAUAAAGCAUCUCCCUUACACUGAGAAGUCACUUGUGCAAAUCAAGUCACCCUGACGCCCAUCAGCUAGCCCCACCUAUAAAAACAACAUACCACCAUAAAUAACCCCAAAACCACGCACUCCCCUAAAACAAAUCAUUUUCCAUCACCUAAGUAUGGGCGACAGAAAAGGACAUCCAUGGAGCUAUAGAAAAAGUACCGUAAGGGAACGCUGAAAUAGAGAUGAAACAGCCCAGUAAAGCCCUAAAAAGCAGAGAUUAAACCUCGUACCUUUUGCAUCAUGACUUAGCUAGCACCCCCAAGCAAAGAGCAUCUUUAGUUUGGCACCCCGAAACUAGUGUGAGCUACUCCAAGACAGCCUAUUCAAUAGGGCAAACCCGUCUCUGUGGCAAAAGAGUGGGAAGAGCUUUGAGUAGAGGUGACAGACCUACCGAACCUAGUUAUAGCUGGUUGCCUGAGAACUGGAUAGAAGUUCAGCCUCCCGGCUUCUCCAUUCAUAUACUAUUCCAAUAUGACUGCCCCCAGAUCUAAAAGAAACCCGCGAGAGUUAUUCUAAGGAGGUACAGCUCCUUUGAACCAAAAUACAAUUUUAUAAGGAGGGUAAAGAUCAUAAUCUUAACCAAGGCAGAAUGUCCUAGUGGGCCUAAAAGCAGCCACCCCUUUCAGAAAGCGUUAAAGCUCAGACAUACCUCUCCGCCCUAUAUCCCGAUAAUCUAAUCUUAACCCCCUAGCCCUAUCAGGCCGUUCCAUGCAAACAUGGAAGCGAUAAUGCUAACAUGAGUAACAAGAGGAUUUAUUUUAUCUGCGCUCCUCUCCCAGCACACGUGUACAUCGAAACGGACCAACCACCGAAACUUAACGGCCCCAAACAAAGAGGGAAUUGAAAGACAAACAUGAUAUACUAGAAAAUCAUCCAGCACGCAACCGUUAACCCCACACUGGUGUGCCAUUAAAGGAAAGACUAAAAGAAAAAGAAGGAACUCGGCAAACACAAGCCUCGCCUGUUUACCAAAAACAUCGCCUCUUGUACAACCACAUUAAAACAAAUAAGAGGUCCCGCCUGCCCAGUGACAACUGGUUCAACGGCCGCGGUAUUUUGACCGUGCAAAGGUAGCGUAAUCACUUGUCUUUUAAAUGAAGACCUGUAUGAAUGGCAUCACGAGGGCUUAGCUGUCUCCUUUUUCUAAGUCAGUGAAAUUGAUCUCCCCGUGCAGAAGCGGGGAUAAAAACAUAAGACGAGAAGACCCUAUGGAGCUUUAGACACCAGAAUAGCACAUGUUAAGACACCCUGAAUAAAGAACUGAACUUAAUGGCCCCCCUAUUCCAAUGUCUUCGGUUGGGGCGACCAUGAGGAACAAAAACCCCUCAUGUGGAAUGGGAGUACCACAACCCACACACUAUUUUUCCUAUACUCCUACAACCAAGAGCUACAACUCAAACUGACAGAAAUUCUGACCAACAAUGAUCCGGCAAUGCUGAUCAACGGACCAAGUUACCCUAGGGAUAACAGCGCAAUCCCCUUUUAGAGCCCAUAUCGACAAGGGGGUUUACGACCUCGAUGUUGGAUCAGGACAUCCUAAUGGUGCAGCCGCUAUUAAGGGUUCGUUUGUUCAACGAUUAAAGUCCUACGUGAUCUGAGUUCAGACCGGAGCAAUCCAGGUCAGUUUCUAUCUAUGCCCAUAAUUCUUUUUUAGUACGAAAGGACCGAAAAGAAAAGGCCCAUGCUAUAAGUAUGCCUUAUCCCUACCUAAUGAAAUCAACUAAACUAGGUAAAGGAACAUGCCCUCAACCCCGUCAAAGAGAAUGACAU